This 596-nucleotide long non-coding RNA is filed under the name Cicer arietinum (chickpea). RNAcentral describes it as "long non-coding RNA (CARI_LNC003738)". Lineage: Eukaryota; Viridiplantae; Streptophyta; Magnoliopsida; Fabales; Fabaceae. The record is from RNAcentral.
AAAUCAGAUUUUCCAUCUUCCUCCUCUGUAACUCACGCGAUCAAAAUUCCUCCCUCCUCCAUUUUCGUUUUUCUUUGCUUCCUUUCUUCAAGAUUAGAAACCCACAGCUUGGUGAGUGAUAGGAUGAGGAUUUCUUAACUUCACUCUCCCUCGUUGAUUCGAAAACGAAGAAAAACGGUGUUAGGAAUUUGAAAACCGUCAAACACAAACCCCUCCGUUUCAUCUAGAUCUAAGCUUCAUUUCGCGAAGAGAUAGAAGAGAAAGUUGCUAGGGGACCAACUUGGAGGCGUCGUUGCGAGCGAAGAUUUUUACCGGAUUUACUCGCAGAACCGGAAACGCACGUUAAAUCUAACGUUAAGGUAAGGGCUCCUUCCAAACUUUUAGUUUGCAUUUAGGGGCUUAUCUGUAGUUGUGUGGAAAGGAAUCUGUUAGGGUUGAAUGAAUUGAUUUAGUGAAAAUGAAUCUAAGGUUCUGUGGGUAAAGUCUUAGAGUUAGGUCUUGACGAUAUUGAUGGGUGUUUCGUAGAAAAUGAACUUAACUCAUUUGUGUAUGAUUAUGGGUAAAUGAAAUUUGAUGUGUUUGAGUGUUAUGUUGUG